AAAGCUUCGGCGCUUUGGGAGGGGCCUGCGGCGUAUCAGGUAGUCGGUGAGGUAACAGGCUCACCAAGCCAUUGACGCGUACCUGGUGUGAGAGCACCACAAGCAGAGUGGGACUGAGACACGGACCACACUCCUACCGGGAAGGCAGCAGUGAGGAAUCUUCCGCAAUUGGACGCAAGUCUGAGGGAGCCAUUCCGCCGUGUAGGCAUGACACGCCUCGGGGGCGNUAAACUACUGUUCCUGAAGGAAGACAUUCGGACGGUACUUCAGGAAAAAGCCGUCGGCUAACUACGUGCCAGCAGCCCCGGGUAAUACGUAGGACGCAAGCGUUAUCCGGAAUCACUGGGCGUAAAGCGAUCGAAGGCUGAUUAGUAAGUUUGGAUGUUAAAUACCUACGGCUCAACCGAGGUGCUGCAUUCAAAACUGCUAGACUAGAGGUAUGCAGAGGUAGCUGGAAUUCUCGUUGUAGGGGUUAAAUCCGUAGAUAACGAGAGGAACACCAAAAGCGAAGGCAGGCUACUGGGCAUUACCUGACGCUGCGCGAUCGAAAGCGUGGGGAGCGAAACGGAUUAGAUACCCGUGUAGUCCACGCCCUAAACGAUGGAUGCUCGGCGUUCGGAAUUUCAAUCGUUCUGAGUGUCUAAGCUAACGCGUUAAGCAUCCCGCCUGAGGAGUACGGUCGCAAGAUUAAAACUCAAAGGAAUAGACGGGGAUCCACACAAGCGGUGGAGCAUGUGGUUUAAUUCGACAAUAAGCGGGGAACCUUACCAGGACUUGACAUCUUCGGAACUUUGCAGAAAUGCGAAGGUGCCUUCGGGAACCGAAUGACAGGUGUUGCAUGGUUGUCGUCAGCUCGUGCCUUGAGGUGUUCGGUUAAGUCCGUUAACGAGCGCAACCCUCGUCGUAUGUUGUAUUUUUCAUACGAGACUGCCAGUUUUACGCUGGAGGAAGGUGAGGAUGACGUCAAAUCAGCAUGGCCCUUAUGUCCUGGGCGACACACGUGCUACAAUGGCUGGCACAAAGGGUAGCGAAGUCGUAAGGCGGAGCCAAUCCCAAAAAACCAGUCUAAGUUCGGAUUGAGGGCUGCAACCCGCCCUCAUGAAGUUGGAAUCGCUAGUAACCGUAGAUCAGCCAUGCUACGGUGAAUAUGUUCCUGGAUCUUGUACUCACCGCCCGUCAAGUCAUGAAAGGCAGGGGCGCCCGAAGUGGUGUUAUCCCGAUUUAUCGGGAGCAUCCCUAAGGUGAAACUGCUGACUGGGACUAAGUC
RNAcentral lists this ribosomal RNA (1267 nucleotides) under uncultured organism. RNAcentral describes it as "bacterial SSU rRNA". It matches the Rfam family "Bacterial small subunit ribosomal RNA", at positions 202 to 1487 of the family's 1533-position model. The record is from RNAcentral.